UCUUGGUCAAAUUUAGAGGAAGUAAAAGUCGUAACAAGGUCUCCGUGGUGACCAGCGGAGGGAUCAUUACUGAGUUACCGCUCUAUAACCCUUUGUGAACAUACCUAACUGUUGCUUCGGCGGGCAGGGGGUCCCCUCGGGGGCGCCCUCCCGGCCUCCGCCUCUCCCUCACGGGAAGGCGGGGCGCCCGCCGGAGGAUACCAAACUCUAUUUUAACGACGUUUCUUCUGAGUGGCACAAGCAAAUAAUUAAAACUUUUAACAACGGAUCUCUUGGUUCUGGCAUCGAUGAAGAACGCAGCGAAAUGCGAUAAGUAAUGUGAAUUGCAGAAUUCAGUGAAUCAUCGAAUCUUUGAACGCACAUUGCGCCCGCCAGCAUUCUGGCGGGCAUGCCUGUUCGAGCGUCAUUUCAACCCUCAAGCUCCGCUUGGUGUUGGGGCCCUACGGUUGACGUAGGCCCUUAAAGGUAGUGGCGGACCCUCUCGGAGCCUCCUUUGCGUAGUAACUAACGUCUCGCAUUGGGAUUCGGAGGGACUCUGGCCGUAAAACCCCCAACUUUUUACUGGUUGACCUCGGAUCAGGUAGGAAUACCCGCUGAACUUAAGCAUAUCAAUAAGCGGAGGAA
RNAcentral lists this ribosomal RNA (624 nucleotides) under Colletotrichum sp. zzz1428. Its description in RNAcentral is "eukaryotic LSU rRNA". The stretch from base 253 to 406 matches the Rfam family "5.8S ribosomal RNA". The record is from RNAcentral. Lineage: Eukaryota; Fungi; Ascomycota; Sordariomycetes; Glomerellales; Glomerellaceae.